Molecule: ribosomal RNA, 705 nt
Filed under: uncultured archaeon
Lineage: Archaea
Description: bacterial SSU rRNA
Rfam family: Archaeal small subunit ribosomal RNA
Source: RNAcentral
GAGCGAACGGGAUUAGAUACCCCGGUAGUCCUGGCCGUAAACGAUGCGUGCUAGGUGUUGGUAGGGCUUUGAGCUCUAUCAGUGCCGUAGGGAAACUGUUAAGCGCGCCGCCUGGGAAGUACGCUCGCAAGAGUUAAACUUAAAGGAAUUGGCGGGGGAGCACCACAAGGGGUGAAGCCUGCGGUUCAAUUGGACUCAACGCCGGGAAACUUACCGGGGGCGACAGCAGGAUGAAGGUCAGAUUGACGAUCUUACCAGACAAGCUGAGCGGAGGUGCAUGGCCGUCGCCAGUUCGUGCCGUGAGGUAUCCUGUUAAGUCAGGCAACGAACGAGACCCACGCGCUUAAUUGCCAGCAAAGACCUACGGGUCUGUUGGGAACAUUAAGCGGACCGCCACCGUACAGGUGGAGGAAGGGGUGGGCUACGGCAGGUCAGUAUGCCCCUAAUCCCCCGGGCCACACGCGGGCUGCAAUGGUAUGGACAAUGGGUUGCGACUCCGAGAGGAGAAGCCAAUCCCGAAACCAUAUCUCAGUUGGGAUUGUCGGCUGUAACCCGCCGACAUGAACGUGGAAUCCCUAGUAAUCGUGUGUCAACAUCGCACGGUGAAUACGUCUCUGCUCCUUGCACACACCGCCCGUCGCUCCAUCCGAGUGUGGUACGAUUGAAAAGUAGUCCUUCGGAUUACUUUGAAAUUGUGCCACGCGA